UUAAUAGGAUCAAAGACUAAGAACGCCGCGUCCUGCGGCAGCGUCUUUGUAACCCCCAUCUUGAGGG
Molecule: small RNA, 67 nt
Filed under: Bacillus sp. MUM 13
Lineage: Bacteria; Bacillati; Bacillota; Bacilli; Caryophanales; Bacillaceae
Description: Bacillaceae-1 RNA
Rfam family: Bacillaceae-1 RNA
Source: Rfam by way of RNAcentral